Molecule: ribosomal RNA, 372 nt
Filed under: uncultured bacterium
Lineage: Bacteria
Description: bacterial SSU rRNA
Rfam family: Bacterial small subunit ribosomal RNA
Source: RNAcentral
AACGAACGCUGGCGGCAGGCCUAACACAUGCAAGUCGAACGCCCGUAGCAAUACGGGAGUGGCAGACGGGUGAGUAACGCGUGGGAACGUGCCCUUCGGUUCGGAAUAACUCAGGGAAACUUGAGCUAAUACCGGAUACGUCCGUAAGGAGAAAGAUUUAUCGCCGAAGGAUCGGCCCGCGUCGGAUUAGCUAGUUGGUGAGGUAACGGCCCACCAAGGCGACGAUCCGUAGCUGGUCUGAGAGGAUGAUCAGCCACACUGGGACUGAGACACGGCCCAGACUCCUACGGGAGGCAGCAGUGGGGAAUAUUGGACAAUGGGCGAAAGCCUGAUCCAGCCAUGCCGCGUGAGUGAAGAAGGCCUUAGGGUUGU